UAAAUUAAUACAUGUUUUUAUUACAUUUUUCAAAUUUUUCAUAGCAUACAAUUCUCAAAUCCCAAUUUCUUUGCGUGGCAAAUUGAGAGAAAAGAAAGAAUUAAAAAAAAAAAAAAAACCCACCGUGAAGGUGACAGUUGCAAAUUUUCUAUUAAUUGCAUGAAAUUUUAUGGAACCACGCGUAGGUUUAGCCGUACUCUGACAAUUUGUGAUAUACAAAAACUGUAAGUGCUUUUAACAAGUUAGUGGCUUUAACAGAGAAACCUUUUUGGUAAUGUGGGCUACGUUGGAUUCCAAACACCGCAUGCUUACCUAAUUUUAGUAGAAAAAUGCUUCGACUCUGGAUUUCAUCAAUUUCUGGGUGCACAAUGAAAAGCAGUAGACAUAAUUAAUGGCGAACGUUAUCUCAUAUCUGAGGAUGGAGCUAAAUUUUCUAAUGGCGAACGUUAUCUCAUAUCUGAUGAUGGAGUUUAAAUUUUCUUUCUUAAUUUUUUUUUCUUUUUCUUUUUAUAAUAAGCGAGCCUCUGCUAAGGAGGCACUUACUAAUAAUAAAUAAAUUACCUGGGUUAGAACUUGGAAGGUUUGUUUAAAAUGGGCAUUUUAAAAGUUAUAUAUAUAUAUAUAAUUAAUUAGUCCGAUUGGGAAACAUCAAUUAAUCCGUCCCUUCUUGGUGUUGGUUAUGUGCUUCCUUUGCUCGUCGAUGGGAAUUUGAGCAUGUCGCUUGUAGCCUUGUGAUUCAACAUGCAUGAAUUUGAGAUCUAUUUCUGCUGUGCAUAUGGUUGCCUUACGAAUCUUUAUAGAGUUUUCUUUGAAAACUUUUUAGAGACAAUAUAAAAAUAGAUAAAUUAUACUUUUAUGCAUUUAUAUGGUUCAAUUUAUAUGGGUAUUUAUAUGAAAGUUAGAGAAGAAAAAUAAUAUAAUGAAAAUAAUUUAGAAAUAAUGAUUGAUUAGUAAAUAUUAAGUCAAUCAAUCUUUUUGAAAUCAAUAGUUAAUAUGAAGAAAUCAAUCAUUUGAUUUAUUGUUUUGAUUCUAUCAUUGUCUGUUUCUUAUAAAAUUAAAGUAUAAAUUUACGUUUGCUUUAAUUGCCUUGUAUUCUUGAUGAGUUAAUUAAUAAAUUAUCAUUUCUUUGUUGUUGUUGGUGGUGGCGUUGGUGAGAGAGAGAAAGGAGAAGUACAAAUGGGUACAAUUGCUAAAUAAUCCAACAAAUCAAUGAGAGAGCAUAUUGCAUAUUGCAUAUUGCAUAUUGCAUAUUGCAUAUUGCGUAUCACACAUCGAUCAUUCUCUCUACAAUUUGUUUGCAAUUAGCUUUUGGGAGUGAGUGUACUCUUUAUCAUGGUACUACUAACUACUCUGGCUACCAAAACUGAAGGGCCCCAAAUAUCACAUUGCCUGCCUAUGUGUGAUGAUAAGUUAAUAAUGAAAUUUUCAAUGGUGUAUUGCUUGGCUUUGGCAAGCUUCUUGGUUCUUUUUACUUAUUAUUAAAAAUAAAUUAGCACAAAGUUCCACUUUCGUGUGGAAGCCACGCUAUAUUCGAUUAAAAAUAACAGAUGGAGUCCACUUUCGCGUGGAAGCCACACAAUAUCCAUCCACUUCCAUUUGCCUUUUUCCCGUGCAACAUUGUGUUUAUUAUAUAUAUACGUUUCUUCUCAAAUAAAAAUUCCUGCUACAAAUGUUGAUAAUUGAUUAUCGUUACAACAUCACAUAUUUUUAUACUUUUAAUUAACAAAUUAAAUUCCAAAUGCUAACUUUUGUCGCUUAGGGUGAGUUGUUUAGUAAUUUUAAAGCUUUUAAUUAAA
This 1796-nucleotide long non-coding RNA is filed under the name Citrus x clementina. RNAcentral's name for it is "Citrus clementina (C. clementina) long non-coding RNA (CCLE_LNC003705)". Lineage: Eukaryota; Viridiplantae; Streptophyta; Magnoliopsida; Sapindales; Rutaceae. The record is from RNAcentral.